This 468-nucleotide ribosomal RNA is filed under the name uncultured bacterium. RNAcentral's name for it is "partial 16S ribosomal RNA". It matches the Rfam family "Bacterial small subunit ribosomal RNA", at positions 28 to 507 of the family's 1533-position model. The record is from RNAcentral.
GACGAACGCUGGCGGCGUGCUUAACACAUGCAAGUCGAACGGAAAGGCCCUGCUUUUGUGGGGUGCUCGAGUGGCGAACGGGUGAGUAACACGUGAGUAACCUGCCCUUGACUUUGGGAUAACUUCAGGAAACUGGGGCUAAUACCGGAUAGGAGCUCCUGCUGCAUGGUGGGGGUUGGAAUGUUUCGGCGGUUGGGGAUGGGCUCGCGGCUUAUCAGCUUGUUGGUGGGGUAGUGGCUUACCAAGGCUUUGACGGGUAGCCGGCCUGAGAGGGUGACCGGCCACAUUGGGACUGAGAUACGGCCCAGACUCCUACGGGAGGCAGCAGUGGGGAAUAUUGCACAAUGGGCGGAAGCCUGAUGCAGCAACGCCGCGUGCGGGAUGACGGCCUUCGGGUUGUAAACCGCUUUCGCCUGUGACGAAGCGUGAGUGACGGUAAUGGGUAAAGAAGCACCGGCUAACUACGUG